RNAcentral lists this ribosomal RNA (1063 nucleotides) under Tenacibaculum sp. L6. RNAcentral describes it as "partial 23S ribosomal RNA". It matches the Rfam family "Bacterial large subunit ribosomal RNA", at positions 683 to 1746 of the family's 2925-position model. Lineage: Bacteria; Pseudomonadati; Bacteroidota; Flavobacteriia; Flavobacteriales; Flavobacteriaceae. The record is from RNAcentral.
CUGAAUAGGGCGCGAUUAGUUAGUAGUAGUAGACGCGAAACCGAGUGAUCUACCCAUGGGCAGGUUGAAGCUGUGGUAACACACAGUGGAGGACCGAACCAGUUGACGUUGAAAAGUCUUUGGAUGACCUGUGGGUAGGGGUGAAAGGCCAAUCAAACUCGGAAAUAGCUCGUACUCCCCGAAAUGCAUUUAGGUGCAGCGUUGAAUAAAAGUUUUAUAGAGGUAGAGCUACUGAUUGGAUGCGGGGGCUUCACCGCCUACCAAUUCCUGACAAACUCCGAAUGCUAUAAAAUGUUUUUCAGCAGUGAGGGCAUGGGUGCUAAGGUCCAUGUCCGAGAGGGAAAGAACCCAGACCAUCAGCUAAGGUCCCCAAAUAUAUGUUAAGUUGAAAAAACGAGGUUUGACUGCCCAGACAGCUAGGAUGUUGGCUUGGAAGCAGCCAUUCAUUUAAAGAGUGCGUAACAGCUCACUAGUCGAGCGGUCGAGCAUGGAUAAUAAUCGGGCAUAAACAUAUUACCGAAGCUAUGGACUUAUUAAAGUGGUAGGGGAGCAUUCUAUAUGUGCUGAAGGUGUGCUGUGAGGCAUGCUGGAACGUAUAGAAAAGAAAAUGUAGGCAUAAGUAACGAUAAAGGGGGCGAGAAACCCCCUCACCGAAAGACUAAGGUUUCCUCAGCGAUGCUAAUCAGCUGAGGGUUAGUCGGGACCUAAGGCGAAUCCGAAGGGAGUAGUCGAUGGACAACAGGUUAAUAUUCCUGUACUUCUUAUAACUGCGAUGGGGUGACGGAGUAGUGAAAGCACCGCGAACUGACGGAAUAGUUCGUUGAAACAUUUAGGUAUUAGACUGGUAGGCAAAUCCGCUGGUUUAGCUGAAGUGUGAUAGUACCACAAGUCUUCGGAUGCGUGGAUAGUGUGCCUAAAAACUUCCAAGAAAAACCUCUAAGCUUCAGGUUAUAAGAACCCGUACCGUAAACCGACACAGGUAGUUGGGAUGAGAAUUCUAAGGUGCUCGAGAGAUUCAUGGCUAAGGAACUAGGCAAAAUAGACUCGUAACUUCGGGAGAAGA